CCCUCACUCGGUCCCCGCGGUGUCUCUGGGAUCCGCAAGUGCGGGAGACUGGAUCCCGUCGUGACAAGGUGUUAACGAAGCAAAGCAGGAUAGCUCUCUGGCUCUUUACGAAUCCGAGGAACCAGGAGGGAGGGGCGAGCGAGCCAGGCCCAGGGUCCCCUCCUGCUCAGGGUUCCCGCCCUAGCUGUCCUGGCCCUUCCGUGACAAGGCCCUGGUGGCCCAGACCGGGCAAGCUGGCCCUUGGCCAGACCAAGAACUCCUGCAGACUCAGAAGUGGGUCCUGGAGGACUGAAAUGUGGGUACAGAUGUGUCAGUCGGGGACCCCCAGUUAUACCUGCCACGCGGUGUGAAAGGUGUGAGUGUUGGCCUUGUGUCCAUGGAGGGGUGCUGACUGCUGCACGGACAGCCAGGAAAGGACCACGCCCUGCCCCUCAAGGUCUUCAUCCUGAGGAGCGGUAUUGGGGUCUGUUGGCAGUCACCUGCUUGUCCCCACAUCUCUGUGGUAACUCCUCAGAGUCCUGUGAGUCUGCACACAUCCUGGGUGGUUCCUGAGCAGGACCCGUGUUUGCAGAACAUCGGAACAACAUGCACAGCACAGUGUGCAGCGUGAGAACUGGAGGAUAAUUGAGGCCUUCUCCACCUGA
Long non-coding RNA from Fukomys damarensis (Damara mole-rat), 644 nucleotides. RefSeq lists it as uncharacterized. The record is from RefSeq and is a predicted model, not a curated record. The transcript has 3 exons. NCBI's taxonomy places the organism in Eukaryota, Metazoa, Chordata, Mammalia, Rodentia, Bathyergidae.